AGCCUCAGCAUUUCAGCUGCUGCACACUGAAAACUAAGCAGCAUCAAGCCUGCUUAGUACUUGGAUGGGAAACUGCCUGAGAAUACCAAACGCUUUAGGCUU
This 102-nucleotide ribosomal RNA is filed under the name Salvator merianae (Argentine black and white tegu). Lineage: Eukaryota; Metazoa; Chordata; Lepidosauria; Squamata; Teiidae. The record is from RNAcentral.